GUCAAGCAUCUGAUCCAUAGUAGUAAGUAUUCCCGCCUGUCACGUGGGUGACCCGGGUUUGAUCCCCGGCAACGACG
Molecule: non-coding RNA, 77 nt
Organism: Datura stramonium (jimsonweed)
Lineage: Eukaryota; Viridiplantae; Streptophyta; Magnoliopsida; Solanales; Solanaceae
Source: the annotation of a GenBank genome assembly